CAUAUCUUUGUCCAGUUAGCAGGGGUUAUGAAGUAUUCUGAUCACCUUGGAUGCAGCCAGAGACAAAGAAUAUGAGGAUGAUUAUCAUGCACUGCUUGCCAGUUGGAGACAGAGUGCUGAAUGAGAUGGAUUUUUGAGGUACCUCAACAAGUUCCUAAGAGCUGGUUUACAGGUUACAAAGAAGUGGGGAAAGAUGAUGCAUACUUCACCCAUGAACCUAGAUGACCUCCAGAACUUGGAUAUCACUAUGGGCAUGAUCCAUGAAUCUAACUUCACAUGUUAACAGAAGAAGUGGGGACAAACUAGAACAUGAAGUGAUGUAAGAAAGAUCUACAACUGAUGUGGUGAUGGCCGAAAUGGAACACUAAUUUAAAAACUUGUAGGGAUUAAAUUAUGAAACAUGUAUUGCAAUAGCUCUGAAAAGUUUCCAGGACAAUAUGCAACUAAACUGCCAAUAGUUUAUAUCCUAGAGAUUCUGUUUGCAUUCUUACAUGUUUUUUUCUUGCAGUCAGCCAGCAACAGAUCAGUGUGUUUAACAAUGAGACCCUGUUAGAGGCUACUGCAGAACAUGGUUCCAUUCUCAGAAACAGAAUGCUAUACAUAGUGUUCGGCUACACAUUUGCAGAGCAGCCAAAGGACCAGGAAACCCGCCCCCCACCGCCGUCCAGUUUUUUUUUAACCUUCUGGUUACUCAAAGACAAAGAGAGGGAACCUCCUUGCC
Hemicordylus capensis (graceful crag lizard) is the source of this 721-nucleotide long non-coding RNA. RefSeq lists it as uncharacterized. The transcript is spliced from 3 exons. The record is from RefSeq and is a predicted model, not a curated record. Lineage: Eukaryota; Metazoa; Chordata; Lepidosauria; Squamata; Cordylidae.